RNAcentral lists this ribosomal RNA (442 nucleotides) under uncultured bacterium. Its description in RNAcentral is "SSU rRNA". It matches the Rfam family "Bacterial small subunit ribosomal RNA", at positions 26 to 518 of the family's 1533-position model. The record is from RNAcentral.
AGAGCGAACGCUGGCGGCAGGCCUAACACAUGCAAGUCGAGCGCCCCGCAAGGGGAGCGGCAGACGGGAGAGUAACACGUGGGAACGUGCCCUUUGGUUCGGAACAACACAGGGAAACUUGUGCUAAUACCGGAUAAGCCCUUACGGGGAAAGAUUUAUCGCCAAAGGAUCGGCCCGCGUCUGAUUAGCUAGUUGGUGAGGUAACGGCUCACCAAGGCUACGAUCAGUAGCUGGUCUGAGAGGAUGAUCAGCCUCACUGGGACUGAGACACGGCCCAGACUCCUACGGGAGGCAGCAGUGGGGAAUAUUGGACAAUGGGCGCAAGCCUGAUCCAGCCAUGCCGCGUGGGUGAUGAAGGCCCUAGGGUUGUAAAGCCCUUUCGGCGGGGAAGAUAAUGACGGUACCCGCAGAAGACGCCCGGCUAACUCGUGCCAGCAGCCGC